Long non-coding RNA from Scylla paramamosain (green mud crab), 368 nucleotides. RefSeq lists it as uncharacterized. The transcript is spliced from 4 exons. NCBI's taxonomy places the organism in Eukaryota, Metazoa, Arthropoda, Malacostraca, Decapoda, Portunidae. The record is from RefSeq and is a predicted model, not a curated record.
CCUCCUCCUCCUCCUCCUCCUCCUCCUCCUCCUCCUCCUCCACCUCGUCUUCCUCUCUCCCUCCCUCCCUCAGCUGAGAGCCGAGCGCGGAUGACGUCUGCCUACAGUCUCUCUCGGUCAGUGGAAGGGGUGUGGAGGGUCGCCGCGUCUACAGAUCGGAGACUCGGUUCGGGCGUGUUUCUAAAGGAUACCCGACCAUUUACAGGGUGUGGGCGCUGCUGCUAUCACCCUGCCACCCACCUUGCCGGCCCGUCAGCCUCCGUCGGUCGAGGCUCGGAUUAGAGGUUUCGAACGAGGGCCACAGAGACUUGAGUUAUAGAGGUGAGCGGGAAGAUUACGCAACGCUGACUUACGUGUGUACUGGCGCU